This 1404-nucleotide ribosomal RNA is filed under the name uncultured archaeon. Its description in RNAcentral is "16S ribosomal RNA". It matches the Rfam family "Archaeal small subunit ribosomal RNA". The record is from RNAcentral.
GGAGGAUGCUGCUAUUAGGAUUCGAUUAAGCCAUGCGAGUCUCUGGUCCUUGUGGCCAGGGCGAACUGCUGAGUAACAUGUAGUUAAUCUGCCCUUAAGUCUGGGAUAAUCUCGGGAAACUGAGGAUAAUACUGGAUAGGGGAUUUGGUCUGGAAUGAUAUUUCCCUUAAAGCUUCGGCGCUUAAGGAUGAGACUGCACUGGAUUAGGUUGAUGUUAGGGUAAAAUCCUACCAUGCCGAUAAUCCAUAGGGGCCGUGAGAGCGGGAGCCCCCAGACGGGUUCUGAGAUACUAACCCGGGUCCUACGGGACGCAGCAGGCGCGAAACCUCUACAAUGCACGCAAGUGUGAUAGGGGAAUCCUAAGUGCUGGCACUAAGUGUCAGCUUUUCUUGAGUCUAAAUCGCUCGAGGAAUAAGUGGUGGGUAAGACCGCUGCCAGCCGCCGCGGUAAUAGCGGCGCCACGAGUGGCAUCCAUUUAUAUUGGGUUUAAAGCAUCCGUAGCCGGCUUGAUAAGUCUACUGUGAAAUCCUGCAGAAAACUGCAGGGCGUGCGGUGGAAACUGUUGGGCUUGGAACCAGAAGAGGUCAGAGGUACUCCUAAGGUAGCGGUAAAAUGCUGUAAUCUUAGGGGGACCACCUGUGGCGAAGGCGUCUGACUGGGAUGGAUUCGACGGUGAGGGAUGAAAGCUAGGGGAGCGACCCGGAUUAGAUACCCGGGUUAGUCCUAGCUGUAAACGAUGCUCACUUGGUAUUGGGAAUCUUUUGCGGAUUUCCAGUGCCGAAGGGAAACCGUUAAGUGAGCCACCUGGGGAGUACGGUCGCAAGGCUGAAACUUAAAGGAAUUGGCGGGGGAGCACUACAAGGGGUGACGUCUGCGGUUUAAUUGGAUAAUACGCCGGGAACCUUACCAGAAGCGACAGCAGAAUGAUGGUCAGUCUGAAGGGCUUACCUGACGCGCUGAGAGGUGUUGCAUGGCCGACGUCAGCUCGUGCCGUGAGGUGUCCUGUUAAGUCAGGUAACGAGCGAGAUCCAUAUCUUAUGUUGCUAAUCUUUCCUUCGGGGAGGAUGCACUCAUAAGAGAUUGCCCGCGAUAAGUGGGAUGAAAGUAUGGGCUACGUUAGGUCAGUAUGGCCCGAAUCUUCUGGGCUACACGCGGGCCUCAAUGACAAGGACAAUGGGAUGCAACUCCGAAAGGAGAAGCAAACCCCCUAAACCUUGUCUUAGUACGGAUUGAGGAUUGCAACUCAUCCUCAUGAUGCCGGAAUCCCUAGUAGUCGAGUGUUAGCAUCGCUCGGCGAAUAUGUCCCUGCUCCUUGCACACACCGCCCACCAAACCACCUGAAUUGGAUUUAGGUGAGGUUUUAUCCUUCCGGAUAAGAUCGAACCCAGGUUCAGUAAGGGGGGU